GCUGCGGUGUCCGAGUGGUUAAGGAGAUGGACUUGAAAUCCAUUGGGCGUUGCCCGCGCAGGUUCGAAUCCUGUCCGCAGCG
Molecule: non-coding RNA, 82 nt
Organism: Frankliniella occidentalis (western flower thrips)
Lineage: Eukaryota; Metazoa; Arthropoda; Insecta; Thysanoptera; Thripidae
Source: the annotation of a RefSeq genome assembly